Molecule: transfer RNA, 63 nt
Filed under: Calyptophractus retusus (Greater fairy armadillo)
Lineage: Eukaryota; Metazoa; Chordata; Mammalia; Cingulata; Chlamyphoridae
Description: tRNA-Cys
Source: RNAcentral
AGCUCCGAGUGUGAUAUUUGAAUUGCAAAUUCAGAGAAGCAGCCUCAAACGCUGCCGGGGCUU